UAAAGGAAUUAUUUUUAAUUGAAAUAAUUUGCUAACAGGUGCUAACACUGGUUUGUAUGUGACUGUGUAGGUCGUGCAAAGAUUGUACACCUUCUGUUGGAGAGGAACAAGUCUGGGAUGAUCACGUCAGACAGUCACGGAGCAACACCUCUGCACUGGCUGAUCGCUUCCAUGCCACACCUCACUGAUGCUGGAGUUUGUGCUGAAGCAGCCCUGACCAAGUAUUGAAACACAGUCGCAGCGUUCCUAACACCACCCUUUGCGAGAUAAGAUCAAUCUGAAGAGACGAAAAGCAUUCAUGUGGGCUGCGGGGAAGGGUAGUGAUGAUGUCAUCAAAAUUAUGCUGGAAUUGAAAAAGGACUUGACAUAAACAUUACUGACAAAUAUGGAGGGACAGGUGUGUGAGAGAGUUACACAAUCACACAGACAAUCAUUUUGAACACAAUUAUUCAUUCCUUGCCUAAACUGGUUAGAUUUAGCUCAGAUCAGUGAUAAUUGCAUUUUCUGUUCAAUCAAGCAAUUAACAAGUCAUAUCCUAUGUAUGUACCUCCAUGCGGCCAUAACUAGAGUUGACUGUUUGGUCACUGACUUUAUGUGCUCUUUUGUGUGUGUGUGUGUGUGUGUGUGUGUG
Long non-coding RNA from Carassius carassius (crucian carp), 631 nucleotides. RefSeq lists it as uncharacterized. NCBI's taxonomy places the organism in Eukaryota, Metazoa, Chordata, Actinopteri, Cypriniformes, Cyprinidae. The record is from RefSeq and is a predicted model, not a curated record. The transcript has 3 exons.